AAAUAUUAGAUCUUCCUUGUCGAGCCAGGCACGAAUAGUCUCAUUUAAACGUGUAUUAAAAGUGCAAUAUAGCUCUAUCUCUGUCACUUACAUAGAAUGCCCGUAAAAUCUUCUCUUUUCAGCUGAGCCAUCUAAAGCUUUUGGCACAAGUUUGGCACCAUCCGCUGUGAGUGGCGAGGGUUGUACUGCACUGCACAGUUGCCAGAUUUUAUAUAAUUUAUAAAGAGAAAAGAAAUACGCACAAAAAAUGGACGGGCAUUAAAGCGGUUUAAAGAUAAAAAAAAUAUGUUUCUGCAUAAAAAUAAGGUAGUACCAUGGCUCCAUGGCACUACCUCACCGGCCGUCACUGGAUACCCCUAGAAACAAAGUUUAAGGGGUCGCCCAUGCGAAAGGUGUAGACGUCCGUCUAGGGAGCUUGCUCCGGAACGGGGCGAAGAUAGAAUGCUGUUUUAUUUUAUUAUUUUAAGUGUAAACUGUAUAUAAAAAUCCUCAAUACAUUUAUUUUGUUUAA
Diabrotica virgifera virgifera (western corn rootworm) is the source of this 511-nucleotide long non-coding RNA. RefSeq lists it as uncharacterized. NCBI's taxonomy places the organism in Eukaryota, Metazoa, Arthropoda, Insecta, Coleoptera, Chrysomelidae. The transcript has 2 exons. The record is from RefSeq and is a predicted model, not a curated record.